UAAGUAGAAGCCAAUUAUUAGGCAGUUAUCUGUUACAUAACCUAUUGCUUUAUUAAAAGCCUACUUAA
RNAcentral lists this transfer RNA (68 nucleotides) under Laeonereis culveri. RNAcentral's name for it is "tRNA-Asn". Lineage: Eukaryota; Metazoa; Annelida; Polychaeta; Phyllodocida; Nereididae. The record is from RNAcentral.